GGGGAAUUUUGGACAAUGGGCGCAAGCCUGAUCCAGCAAUGCCGCGUGCAGGAAGAAGGCCUUCGGGUUGUAAACUGCUUUUGUCAGGGAAGAAAUCUUCUGGGUUAAUACCUCGGGAGGAUGACGGUACCUGAAGAAUAAGCACCGGCUAACUACGUGCCAGCAGCCGCGGUAAUACGUAGGGUGCGAGCGUUAAUCGGAAUUACUGGGCGUAAAGCGUGCGCAGGCGGCUUUGCAAGACAGAUGUGAAAUCCCCGGGCUCAACCUGGGAACUGCAUUUGUGACUGCAAGGCUAGAGUACGGCAGAGGGGGAUGGAAUUCCGCGUGUAGCAGUGAAAUGCGUAGAUAUGCGGAGGAACACCAAUGGCGAAGGCAAUCCCCUGGGCCUGUACUGACGCUCAUGCACGAAAGCGUGGGGAGCAAACAGG
RNAcentral lists this ribosomal RNA (428 nucleotides) under uncultured bacterium. Its description in RNAcentral is "bacterial SSU rRNA". It matches the Rfam family "Bacterial small subunit ribosomal RNA", at positions 356 to 776 of the family's 1533-position model. The record is from RNAcentral.